UCCUCCUUAGCUCAGUUGGUUAGAGCAUCUGACUGUUAAUCAGAGGGUCGCUGGUUCAAGUCCAGCAGGAGGAGCUA
Molecule: transfer RNA, 77 nt
Filed under: Bacteroidia bacterium
Lineage: Bacteria; Pseudomonadati; Bacteroidota; Bacteroidia
Description: tRNA-Asn
Rfam family: tRNA
About the family: Transfer RNA (tRNA) molecules are approximately 80 nucleotides in length. Their secondary structure includes four short double-helical elements and three loops (D, anti-codon, and T loops).
Source: RNAcentral